This is a long non-coding RNA of Gopherus flavomarginatus (Mexican gopher tortoise), 407 nucleotides long. RefSeq lists it as uncharacterized. The record is from RefSeq and is a predicted model, not a curated record. The transcript has 3 exons. NCBI's taxonomy places the organism in Eukaryota, Metazoa, Chordata, Testudines, Testudinidae.
AAGAUGCUGCUGAGGAAGGAGAUGGUGGUUGCUGUGCUGGGAAGAAUGCUAGGUGGUAAGCUCUGAAAGGGGACAUACAGAAUGAAGUCAGAGCUGAUGUUAGGCUAAUGGUUAACAGCAUAAAAGAGAAGGGAGUUGGCUGGAACGUGGUACUUCUUGGGAAGUUCGUGUGUGGCAAUGAUAAGGUUGAAACGACUCUAAAAACAGAGCAAAACCACCCGUCUUCCUCACACCCGGCAAAGAGCAUGCUGAAAUGGGCAACCUCAGUAUGCAGUCGGUCCCAAAAUAGCUGUGCCGGUCCCAGAAUAUUGGAGAGACGAGAUGGGAAACUUCCCAGUAUCCUCUGGUCCUGAGUCCACGACACUGCCCCUAGCUCAGGAGCGCUCGAUGAGGUGCCUGCCAGAGAC